Molecule: ribosomal RNA, 717 nt
Filed under: Nannochloris sp. SA-2016
Lineage: Eukaryota; Viridiplantae; Chlorophyta; Trebouxiophyceae; Chlorellales; Chlorellaceae
Description: eukaryotic LSU rRNA
Rfam family: 5.8S ribosomal RNA (bases 225-378)
Source: RNAcentral
ACGCGACUUUCCCGUUUGUUGUGUCGUGUCGCGUCUGCGGUCACGACUCGUUUUUUCGCGUCAACACGUGUGUGGACUCGUUUGUCCUCGGUCGCGUGUCGUCGCGAGGAACACACGCCAACCCGACCUCGUGUCGUGUGCGUCCGCCCGUCGGAGCGCACGAUCCGAGUCUUCUCUGAAGCGUCUCUCGGUCGUUGUCGACCGAGGUUAUGAAACCAAACGACAACUCUCAACAACGGAUAUCUUGGCUCCCGUAUCGAUGAAGAACGCAGCGAAAUGCGAUACGUAGUGUGAAUUGCAGAAUUCCGUGAACCAUCGAAGUUUUGAACGCACCUUGCGCCCGAGGCCUCGGCCGAGGGCAUGUCUGCCUCAGCGUCGGCGCACCCCCUCGACCCGCGUCUGGUUUGUGUCACCGGCACACACCCUGUGUGCCGAACCCAGUAUUCCGUCUGCGUCGUACCUGGCAUUGUCUCGUCGCGUGUUCGCGAGGACGGCCUGCUGAAAUGUUCGGCUUGAACGACGACCCCGUUUGAGGUCGGCGACUUGGUAGGUUUGCGACUGGCGCGUGCCAAGUGGUGACUCCGUCUACCAGAACACUGUAUCGUCGUCCCAGGCGUCCCGCUGCGGUGCUUUGCACGUGCACUCUCGCGCACGUACUCCACCUAUUCAUUCGACCUGAGCUCAGCAAGAUUACCCGAUGAAUUUAAGCGUAUCCGU